Molecule: ribosomal RNA, 309 nt
Filed under: uncultured bacterium
Lineage: Bacteria
Description: partial 16S ribosomal RNA
Rfam family: Bacterial small subunit ribosomal RNA
Source: RNAcentral
AGAGACAGCAGUAGCCACGGGAAUACAGAGGGUGCGAGCGUUAAUCGGAUUUACUGGGCGUAAAGCGUGCGUAGGCGGCUUCUUAAGUCGGAUGUGAAAUCCCUGAGCUUAACUUAGGAAUUGCAUUCGAUACUGGGAAGCUAGAGUAUGGGAGAGGAUGGUAGAAUUCCAGGUGUAGCGGUGAAAUGCGUAGAGAUCUGGAGGAAUACCGAUGGCGAAGGCAGCCAUCUGGCCUAAUACUGACGCUGAGGUACGAAAGCAUGGGGAGCAAACAGGAUUAGAUACCCCAGUAGUCCCUGUCUCUUAUAC